GAUGUAAACCGAGGUCCUGUCACGGUCGC
Molecule: small RNA, 29 nt
Filed under: Bombyx mori (domestic silkworm)
Lineage: Eukaryota; Metazoa; Arthropoda; Insecta; Lepidoptera; Bombycidae
Description: ovarian small RNA-16164
Source: RNAcentral